Molecule: non-coding RNA, 403 nt
Organism: Sphingomonas sp. Leaf339
Lineage: Bacteria; Pseudomonadati; Pseudomonadota; Alphaproteobacteria; Sphingomonadales; Sphingomonadaceae
Source: Rfam
GCGUUUGCACCGGCGCGCGCGGCUCCCUAUAUCCAAUGUGUCGGGUUCGCCCGACUAUGGCGAUAAAUCGCGGCGUAGACUAGAUGCAGCGGACCCGGGGGCAGUACCCGGCGACUCCACCAUUUGCACCGCCGCCCACCUGCUUUCAGCGGGGAAGGGGCGGUUCAGCUGACGGGGUCGAACCAGGAUCGACGUGUAUUGAAAGGCGCCGUUUUUGCUCGGAAUGGGACCACCGCAACGGCCCAUUACACAAGUGCCAACGAUAACGAAGCACUCGCGAUUGCGGCGUAACUAAGGGCCUCACGGCCUAAGGUUACUCCAAGAUAGCGCGGUUGGACCGCACCGGGCAACAGAAGCGGAUUCCAGCGGUACGGGGAGCACCGGGCAACAGAAGCUCCCCACU